RNAcentral lists this ribosomal RNA (216 nucleotides) under Glomeromycotina sp. RNAcentral's name for it is "partial small subunit ribosomal RNA". The stretch from base 75 to 216 matches the Rfam family "Eukaryotic small subunit ribosomal RNA", at positions 721 to 864 of the family's 1831-position model. The record is from RNAcentral. Lineage: Eukaryota; Fungi; Glomeromycota.
GGGUCAGUAGGUUGGUCGUGCCACCGGUACGUACUGGUCUCACUGAUCCCUCCUUCCUGAAGAACCGUAAUGCCAUUAAUUUGGUGUUGCGGGGAAACAGGACUGUUACUUUGAAAAAAUUAGAGUGUUUAAAGCAAGCUAACGCUUGAAUACGUUAGCAUGGAAUAAUGAAAUAGGACGAUCGAUCCUAUUUUGUUGGUUUCUAGGAUUGACGUA